Molecule: ribosomal RNA, 669 nt
Filed under: Neocordana musae
Lineage: Eukaryota; Fungi; Ascomycota; Sordariomycetes; Magnaporthales; Pyriculariaceae
Description: partial 5.8S ribosomal RNA
Rfam family: 5.8S ribosomal RNA (bases 306-459)
Source: RNAcentral
GAAUGGCUCAGUGAGGCGUUCGGACUGGCUCGGGGAGGUUGGCAACGACCACCCCAAGCCGGAAAGUUCGUCAAACUCGGUCAUUUAGAGGAAGUAAAAGUCGUAACAAGGUCUCCGUAGGUGAACCUGCGGAGGGAUCAUUACACAAAUUAAAAUAUGAAGGCUUCGGCUGGAUUAUUUUUAUCACCCUUGUCUUUUGCGCACUUGUUGUUUCCUGGGCGGGUUCGCCCGCCACCAGGACCACACCAUAAACCUUUUUUAUGCAGUUGCAAUCAGCGUCAGUAUAACAAAUGUAAAUCAUUUACAACUUUCAACAACGGAUCUCUUGGUUCUGGCAUCGAUGAAGAACGCAGCGAAAUGCGAUACGUAGUGUGAAUUGCAGAAUUCAGUGAAUCAUCGAAUCUUUGAACGCACAUUGCGCCCUUUGGUAUUCCAAAGGGCAUGCCUGUUCGAGCGUCAUUUGUACCCUCAAGCUUUGCUUGGUGUUGGGCGUCUUUUGUCUUUGGCCUCGCCCAAAGACUCGCCUUAAAACGAUUGGCAGCCGGCCUACUGGUUUCGCAGCGCAGCACAUUUUUGCGCUUGCAAUCAGCAAAAAGGACGGCAAUCCAUCAAGACUACAUUUUUACGUUUGACCUCGGAUCAGGUAGGGAUACCCGCUGAACUUAAGCA